RNAcentral lists this non-coding RNA (30 nucleotides) under Homo sapiens (human). Lineage: Eukaryota; Metazoa; Chordata; Mammalia; Primates; Hominidae. The record is from RNAcentral.
UGCCAAUGACUGAUCUCAACCAUACCUCUA